Molecule: ribosomal RNA, 209 nt
Filed under: uncultured bacterium
Lineage: Bacteria
Description: partial 16S ribosomal RNA
Rfam family: Bacterial small subunit ribosomal RNA
Source: RNAcentral
CCUACGGGAGGCAGCAGUAGGGAAUUUUCGGCAAUGGGGGCAACCCUGACCGAGCAACGCCGCGUGAGUGAAGAAGGGUUUCGGCUCGUAAAGCUCUGUUGUUGGAGAAGAACGUGCGUGAGAGUAACUGUUCACGCAGUGACGGUAUCCAACCAGAAAGUCACGGCUAACUACGUGCCAGCAGCCGCGGUAAUACGUAGGUGGCAAGC